RNAcentral lists this ribosomal RNA (333 nucleotides) under Triticum aestivum (bread wheat). RNAcentral's name for it is "partial small subunit ribosomal RNA". The record is from RNAcentral. Lineage: Eukaryota; Viridiplantae; Streptophyta; Magnoliopsida; Poales; Poaceae.
AUGGAAUUGCCUCCCACUUAUCUAGGUUAUGAUGUUACGGUUCGUCAUCAGUUUAUUGAGAGGAAUGAAGAGCCUCUCCAAUACCGACUAAUGUUUGACAGGAGCCACAUUUUCCAUAUUGCUCUCCCUGCUCCUACUUUCUUUGACUUUCAGGCAAAAGGGAGAUAUAUUAUAACUAGGGAGGAGGCGAACGAGUAUAAGAGGAGAAAGGAAACAGCUCGUCUCCACUGCAGUGCCAAUACCAGAUACGAGAGCUACAUCAUCUGCACCAGCAGCAACAACUUAUGUGCCACCUCCAGCAGCCACUCCAUCAGCUCCAACUACAUCAACUGA